This 297-nucleotide long non-coding RNA is filed under the name Phoenix dactylifera (date palm). Its description in RNAcentral is "long non-coding RNA (PDAC_LNC014828)". The record is from RNAcentral. Lineage: Eukaryota; Viridiplantae; Streptophyta; Magnoliopsida; Arecales; Arecaceae.
AUGCGUGCUUUCCAAUAUGUGUAGUUUAUGCCAUUAAACAGUGAAGGUCUAUCAAUUAACUGUCCCUCUCCUAGAAAACUAUCUAUUUGAGUUGUCAUGAUCUUUGGCUCUUGAUCGUGAGAUCAACAAUUGAUCUUGAGCACCUGCUCUGAUACCACUUGUUGCCCAAGAUGACAACCCAAGAGGGGGGGUGAAUUGGGUUUUCUAAAAAUUGUGUUUCCUAAUUUUUUACUUUAAAUUGAAUGUAGCGGAAUGAUAAGAUGUUACUUACUUAAGCUCUAGGUAAUUAUAAGUAAU